GCGGAGGAAAAGAAACCAACAGGGAUUACCUCAGUAACGGCGAGUGAAGCGGUAACAGCUCAAAUUUGAAAUCUGGCUCUUUUAGGGUCCGAGUUGUAAUUUGUAGAAGAUGCUUUGGGCGUGGCUCCGGUCUAAGUUCCUUGGAACAGGACGUCACAGAGGGUGAGAAUCCCGUACGUGACUGGUUGCCUUCGUCCGUGUAAAGCUCUUUCGACGAGUCGAGUUGUUUGGGAAUGCAGCUCAAAAUGGGUGGUAUAUUUCAUCUAAAGCUAAAUAUUGGCCAGAGACCGAUAGCGCACAAGUAGAGUGAUCGAAAGAUGAAAAGCACUUUGGAAAGAGAGUUAAACAGUACGUGAAAUUGUUGAAAGGGAAGCGCUUGCAACCAGACUUGCACGUAGUUGAUCAUCCGAGGUUUUCCCCGGUGCACUCGAUUGCGUUCAGGCCAGCAUCGGUUUGGGUGGUUGGAUAAAGGCCUUGGGAAUGUAGCUCCUCUCGGGGAGUGUUAUAGCCCUCGGUGCAAUGCAGCCUAUCCGGACCGAGGACCGCGCUUCGGCUAGGAUGCUGGCGUAAUGGUUGUAAGCGACCCGUCUU
Molecule: ribosomal RNA, 591 nt
Filed under: Hyalopeziza sp. TNS-F17975
Lineage: Eukaryota; Fungi; Ascomycota; Leotiomycetes; Helotiales; Hyaloscyphaceae
Description: eukaryotic LSU rRNA
Rfam family: Eukaryotic large subunit ribosomal RNA
Source: RNAcentral